This 502-nucleotide ribosomal RNA is filed under the name uncultured bacterium. Its description in RNAcentral is "partial 16S ribosomal RNA". It matches the Rfam family "Bacterial small subunit ribosomal RNA", at positions 29 to 507 of the family's 1533-position model. The record is from RNAcentral.
AGCGAACGCUGGCGGCGUGCCUAACACAUGCAAGUCGAACGUGAAAGGGAGCAAUCCCAAGUAAAGUGGCGUACGGGUGAGUAACACGUAGGUAAUCUACCCCAGAAUCUGGAAUAACCGGCCGAAAGGCUGGCUAAUACUGGAUAGAGCGACGGAAUCCGUAAUUGGGUUUUUCGGGAAAGGGAGCCUGUAAAAAGGCCUUCGUUCUGGGAUGAGCCUGCGUCCCAUCAGCUAGUUGGUGAGGUAAAAGCUUACCAAGGCAAUGACGGGUAGCUGGUCUGAGAGGACGAUCAGCCACACUGGAACUGAAACACGGGCCAGACUCCUACGGGAGGCAGCAGUGGGGAAUCUUGCGCAAUGGACGAAAGUCUGACGCAGCAACGCCGCGUGAGUGAAGAAGGCCUUCGGGUUGUAAAGCUCUGUCGAGUGGGACGAAAAUGCUUGGAGUUCACAGCUCCAGGAACUGACGGUACCACUAAAGGAAGCACCGGCUAACUCCGUG